Long non-coding RNA from Gambusia affinis (western mosquitofish), 294 nucleotides. RefSeq lists it as uncharacterized. NCBI's taxonomy places the organism in Eukaryota, Metazoa, Chordata, Actinopteri, Cyprinodontiformes, Poeciliidae. The transcript is spliced from 3 exons. The record is from RefSeq and is a predicted model, not a curated record.
GCAACCAAUGGAAGAACGCAAUUUAUUUUUCUUGUUGCUGAUUGGCCGUGCAACCAAGGGCGGAAGUAAACAAGACUGAAGACGUUAGCUUGUCCGCAUGACACAGCCCUAUGUCACAACCAGAUGGAAGGAGGAAGAUUGAAAAGUAAAAAUGGCAGCUGUCGUCAGCCGAGGGUGAAGAAGUCGGGGGCCACCAUGCCGAACACGUUGAUCCUAUCGCAGAGCUCCAGAGCGAUGGUCAUGGUGAACCAGCCGGUGCUCAGCCACGAGUUGGAAAUCUUCCUGCAGACGGAG